AUUGAACGCUAGCGGGAUGCUUUACACAUGCAAGUCGAACGGCAGCGCGGACUUCGGUCUGGCGGCGAGUGGCGAACGGGUGAGUAAUGUAUCGGAACGUGCCCAGUAGCGGGGGAUAACUACGCGAAAGCGUAGCUAAUACCGCAUACGCCCUACGGGGGAAAGCAGGGGAUCGUAAGACCUUGCACUAUUGGACCGGCCGAUAUCGGAUUAGCUAGUUGGUGAGGUAACGGCUCACCAAGGCGACGAUCCGUAGCUGGUUUGAGAGGACGACCAGCCACACUGGGACUGAGACACGGCCCAGACUCCUACGGGAGGCAGCAGUGGGGAAUUUUGGACAAUGGGGGCAACCCUGAUCCAGCCAUCCCGCGUGUGCGAUGAAGGCCUUCGGGUUGUAAAGCACUUUUGGCAGGAAAGAAACGUCGCGGGCUAAUACCCCGUGGAACUGACGGUACCUGCAGAAUAAGCACCGGCUAACUACGUG
This 484-nucleotide ribosomal RNA is filed under the name uncultured bacterium. RNAcentral's name for it is "partial 16S ribosomal RNA". It matches the Rfam family "Bacterial small subunit ribosomal RNA", at positions 30 to 507 of the family's 1533-position model. The record is from RNAcentral.